GUAGGGGGCAAGCGUUGUCCGGAAUCAUUGGGCGUAAAGAGCGCGUAGGCGGUCCGGUAAGUCCGCUGUGAAAGUCAAGGGCUCAACCCUUGAAUGCCGGUGGAUACUGUCGGGCUAGAGUCCGGAAGAGGCGAGUGGAAUUCCUGGUGUAGCGGUGAAAUGCGCAGAUAUCAGGAGGAACACCAAUGGCGAAGGCAGCUCGCUGGGACGGUACUGACGCUGAGGCGCGAAAGCGUGGGGAGCAAACAGGAUUAGAUACCCUGGUAGUCCACGCCGUAAACGAUGGGCACUAGGUGUGGGAGGUGUCGACUCCUCCCGUGCCGUAGCUAACGCAUUAAGUGCCCCGCCUGGGGAGUACGGCCGCAAGGCUA
RNAcentral lists this ribosomal RNA (371 nucleotides) under uncultured bacterium. Its description in RNAcentral is "bacterial SSU rRNA". It matches the Rfam family "Bacterial small subunit ribosomal RNA", at positions 527 to 896 of the family's 1533-position model. The record is from RNAcentral.